GUUUUAAACUUGAUUUGUAAACAUCUUUUUAAAGUCGCUGUAGAAGACUGUUGUUACUGAUGAUGUUUUUAUUUAAAUGCAACUGGAAUGAAUCAUCUGAACCCUGACUCGAGUGUGUGACGGUCAGGCAGCUGACACUGAUGUGUGUGUGUGUGUGUGUGUGUGUGUCUCAGCCUCGCUCCUCCGACUCUCCUCUGACUCUCGGCUUUCAGCCUCCUGCUGACGAUGAACAAUAAAAAACUGUUUCUGUUGGUACUGAGAGUCGUGUGAACGCUGCUGGAUUGUGAUGGAGGCUCGCAGGAAUAAUAAACUCCAUUUAAAGGUACAGUGUGAAGCAUUUCAAGAUUAAAAUGUCUUUGUGUUUCAUUUCCUGUUGCAGGAAGGGAGGAAGUUGUCACUGAACCUAACAGUUUAACUGGAAAACGUGACUCCUGAAACUGACAUGAAAUCAUCCCUUUGAGAGACGACAUCUCACUCUGUUGGAAGAACAGAAACCCCAACAGGCUUGAACCGUCCACCUUCCUGCUCUCCAGAGGAUGAACACUGUGGAGUUCUCCUCUAGCGCCACCUUCAGGACAAACUGGAGCUCCACUCACUGCUGACUGUUGGUGUCUAACUCUGUGAAGGUGGAGCUCUGUCAACACCAGCUGCAGUCUAAAGCAGAUCACGUAUGUGAAGCUGCCACAGAGGACGCGGACACAAGGGGGACACGUGUCCCCAGGUCUUCGUGUGUGGCGUGCCGCACCUUUAAACAGCGGAGCGAUGUUCCAGACGUUGAUGCUGCCG
Long non-coding RNA from Scatophagus argus, 786 nucleotides. RefSeq lists it as uncharacterized. NCBI's taxonomy places the organism in Eukaryota, Metazoa, Chordata, Actinopteri, Scatophagidae. The transcript has 4 exons. The record is from RefSeq and is a predicted model, not a curated record.